CAUUAUACCGUGAAACUGCGAAUGGCUCAUUAAAUCAGUUAUCGUUUAUUUGAUAGUACCUUACUACUUGGAUAACCGUGGUAAUUCUAGAGCUAAUACAUGCUAAAAACCCCAACUUCGGGAGGGGUGUAUUUAUUAGAUAAAAAACCAACGCCCUUCGGGGCUUCUUGGUGAUUCAUGAUAACUUUACGGAUCGCAUGGCCUUGCGCCGGCGACGGUUCAUUCAAAUUUCUGCCCUAUCAACUUUCGAUGGUAAGGUAUUGGCUUACCAUGGUUUCAACGGGUAACGGGGAAUUAGGGUUCGAUUCCGGAGAGGGAGCCUGAGAAACGGCUACCACAUCCAAGGAAGGCAGCAGGCGCGCAAAUUACCCAAUCCCGACACGGGGAGGUAGUGACAAUAAAUACUGAUACAGGGCUCUUUUGGGUCUUGUAAUUGGAAUGAGUACAAUUUAAACCUCUUAACGAGGAACAAUUGGAGGGCAAGUCUGGUGCCAGCAGCCGCGGUAAUUCCAGCUCCAAUAGCGUAUAUUAAAGUUGUUGCAGUUAAAAAGCUCGUAGUUGAAACUUGGGUCUGGCUGGCAGGUCCGCCUCACCGCGUGUACUUGUCCGGCCGGGCCUUCCUUCUGGAGAACCUCAUGCCCUUCACUGGGCGUGUUGGGGACCAGGACUUUUACUUUGAAAAAAUUAGAGUGUUCAAAGCAGGCCUUUGCUCGAAUACGUUAGCAUGGAAUAAUAGAAUAGGACGUGCGGUCCUAUUUUGUUGGUUUCUAGGACCGCCGUAAUGAUUAAUAGGGACAGUCGGGGGCAUCAGUAUUCAAUUGUCAGAGGUGAAAUUCUUGGAUUUAUUGAAGACUAACUACUGCGAAAGCAUUUGCCAAGGAUGUUUUCAUUAAUCAGUGAACGAAAGUUAGGGGAUCGAAGACGAUCAGAUACCGUCGUAGUCUUAACCGUAAACUAUGCCGACUAGGGAUCGGGCGAUGUUCUUUUUCUG
This 991-nucleotide ribosomal RNA is filed under the name Phaeopoacea festucae. RNAcentral describes it as "SSU rRNA". It matches the Rfam family "Eukaryotic small subunit ribosomal RNA", at positions 72 to 1073 of the family's 1831-position model. The record is from RNAcentral. Lineage: Eukaryota; Fungi; Ascomycota; Dothideomycetes; Pleosporales; Phaeosphaeriaceae.